This 315-nucleotide unclassified non-coding RNA is filed under the name Annulohypoxylon sp. Its description in RNAcentral is "partial contains 5.8S ribosomal RNA, internal transcribed spacer 2, and large subunit ribosomal RNA". The stretch from base 1 to 71 matches the Rfam family "5.8S ribosomal RNA", at positions 84 to 154 of the family's 154-position model. The record is from RNAcentral. Lineage: Eukaryota; Fungi; Ascomycota; Sordariomycetes; Xylariales; Hypoxylaceae.
GUGAAUCAUCGAAUCUUUGAACGCACAUUGCGCCCAUUAGUAUUCUAGUGGGCAUGCCUAUUCGAGCGUCAUUUCGACCCUUAAGCCCUGUUGCUUAGCGUUGGGAGACUGCUAACCCCCCCGGGGGGUGCAGCUCCUCAAAGUUAGUGGCGGAGUUGCAGCACACUCUUAGCGUAGUAAGUUUUACCUCUCGCUUCUGCAGUGGGCGCAGCUACCUGCCGUAAAACUAAGGAGAUCAUAGCGCUCUCCUUUAGUGGUUGACCUCGGAUUAGGUAGGAAUACCCGCUGAACUUAAGCAUAUCAAUAAGCGGAGGA